Molecule: ribosomal RNA, 253 nt
Filed under: uncultured bacterium
Lineage: Bacteria
Description: partial 16S ribosomal RNA
Rfam family: Bacterial small subunit ribosomal RNA
Source: RNAcentral
UACGGAGGGGGCAAGCGUUAUUCGGAAUUAUUGGGCGUAAAGGGCGCGUAGGCGGCUCCGUAAGUCAGGGGUGAAAUCCCUCGGCUCAACCGAGGAAUUGCCUCUGAAACUACAGAGCUUGAGCCCGGGAGAGGGUGGUGGAAUUCCCAGUGUAGCGGUGAUAUGCGUAGAUACUGGGAGGAACACCAGUGGCGAAGGCGGCCACCUGGACCGGUACUGACGCUGAGGCGCGAAAGCGUGGGGAGCAAACAGG